UACGUAGGGUGCAAGCAUUACUCGGAUUUAUUGGGCGUAAAGGGCGCGUAGGCGGAAAUGCCAGUCAGAUGUGAAAUCCCGGGGCUCAACCCCGGAACAGCAUUUGAAACUACAUUUCUAGAGGGUAGGCGGAGAAAACGGAAUUCCACAAGUAGCGGUGAAAUGCGUAGAGAUGCGGCGGAACACCGAUGGCGAAGGCAGCCCCCUGGGCUGAGAUUGACGCUCAGGCACGAAAGCGUGGGGAGCAAACAGA
Molecule: ribosomal RNA, 253 nt
Filed under: uncultured bacterium
Lineage: Bacteria
Description: partial 16S ribosomal RNA
Rfam family: Bacterial small subunit ribosomal RNA
Source: RNAcentral